GACGAACGCUGGCGGCGUGCUUAACACAUGCGAGUCGAACGGAAAGGCCCUGCUUUUGUGGGGUGCUCGAGUGGCGAACGGGUGAGUAACACGUGAGUAACCUGCCCUUGACUUUGGGAUAACUUCAGGAAACUGGGGCUAAUACCGGAUAGGAGCUCCUGCUGCAUGGUGGGGGUUGGAAAGUUUCGGCGGUUGGGGAUGGACUCGCGGCUUAUCAGCUUGUUGGUGGGGUAGUGGCUUACCAAGGCUUUGACGGGCAGCCGGCCUGAGAGGGUGACCGGCCACAUUGGGACUGAGAUACGGCCCAGACACCUACGGGAGGCAGCAGUGGGGAAUAUUGCACAAUGGGCGGAAGCCUGAUGCAGCAACGCCGCGUGCGGGAUGACGGCCUUCGGGUUGUAAACCGCUUUCGCCUGUGACGAAGCGUGAGUGACGGUAAUGGGUAAAGAAGCACCGGCUAACUACGUG
This 468-nucleotide ribosomal RNA is filed under the name uncultured bacterium. RNAcentral's name for it is "partial 16S ribosomal RNA". It matches the Rfam family "Bacterial small subunit ribosomal RNA", at positions 28 to 507 of the family's 1533-position model. The record is from RNAcentral.